GAUGAAGAACGCAGCGAAAUGCGAUACGUAAUGUGAAUUGCAGAAUUCAGUGAAUCAUCGAAUCUUUGAACGCAUAUUGCGCCUUCUGGUAUCCCGGAGGGCAUGCUUGUUUGAGUAUCAGUAACAACCUCAACUCUUCUUCAUUGCGGAGAAAGAGUUGGAUUUGAGCAUUUCCACAAGUUCGUCUUGGAGGAUUGCUUGAAAUAUGAGGUUCGGCCGGCAGUUGCCUGGGCUACAAGCAUUUCAUACUUAAUCCCGUCAAACGGAUUAUAUCCUUUGCUGCAGCCAACAUACAGGGUAACUUUGCCAGUGUUCCGACUGAUGCAGGAAAGUUGAGAACAGCUUUUUGCUUUCUCUUCUAAACUCGAUCUCAAAUCAAGUAAGACUACCCGCUGAACUUAAGCAUAUCAAUAAGCGGAGGA
This 422-nucleotide unclassified non-coding RNA is filed under the name soil metagenome. RNAcentral describes it as "partial contains 5.8S ribosomal RNA, internal transcribed spacer 2, and large subunit ribosomal RNA". The stretch from base 1 to 120 matches the Rfam family "5.8S ribosomal RNA", at positions 35 to 154 of the family's 154-position model. The record is from RNAcentral.